GUCAGUUGCAAGGGUGUGAGGCAGAAGCAACACAAAAGAUCUUGAUAUGAAGCAAUUAUUUUUGGUCUUAAACUGCUGGGACUCCAGAUGACCCAGACCACGGUCAGCAGGCAGAAGCCAGAUGCUAUUGUCAACAGAAUUGCCUUCAAGAUUCCUUUUCUGAUUGUUCAUUGCUGAGAUGACAUCUCACUAUAUUGCCCAGGCUGGUCUUGAACUUCUAGCCUCAAGCAAUCCUCCCACCUCAGCCUCUGAACGUACUGGAAUUACAGAUGGAGCAACUGAGAUUCUUCCCCAACUAGACUAUAAGUUCUCUGAGGGAUAAGGAACAUGUCUGGUUUCCUCAUCUCUCUGUCACAGCACCCUGUGAAUGCCUAGAAGACAGUAAGAAUCAACUGAAUGUUUGUAGAAAGAAUAACGAUACUUACCUAUAGUCUAAAGGUUUAGUGAUGAAAUGAAGUCCACUAACUUCUCUCUGCUUACUUCCACCCUCAAUAACAUAUUUCCUCAAACCCCACAGAGGAAAGACAAUUCAUUUUUUACUAUUGUUUAAUAGAGCCAUGUUUGUAUGUAGCUUCCUGUUCCGCUUAGCCCAAGACAUUAAGUGGGUCAGGAGUAAACUCUGCCCUCUGUUUUUUUCCAUUCCUUUGUCACCUGCUCAAGUGGCAGCCCAGAGCCGCUUGGCGGCUUCCCUGAAGAUGAGCAGAGUGCAGUAGAUUAGGCAUGGCCUUUCUAUCUAUUUCUACUAUGGAGAAGCUGAAAAAGCUAUAUGGCUGGAAAAAAAUCACCUUGGUACUAAUUUGCUAUUUUACAAUAUUUGAAAAUAAAGACCUGUGGUCUUCCUAUGUAUUUCUUUUUAAACAAUGAGGGGUAUGGAACAUCUAUGAAUAAACAUCAAGGUCUUCAAGUGAAUUUUCAGGUUGUGAAGUAUGUGAUUUGUUACUACUAGGGAGAGAUGUUUCCUAACCAUAAAAAUGAAUGUGACUUUUUUUUUUUAAAGGAUGCAACUAAAUUAUAAAAGACAAUCAUUUCACUGGUGGGAAUAGAAUUCACUUAUUCUGAGUCAUGCCUAUUGCAUUACAUUUUGUUUAGCAUAAUUAAUGGUGAAUCUGAGUUGUCCCACAGAAGUAAACCCUAAUUCUCCUCUCCCUACUUCUACCUCUCUCAUUUUAAAGUCUUCAAUUAGUUUUUCCCAAAUGUUUCCAGUCUUAAGAUUUACGGAAUUUGAAGCCUUUCCCAAAGAUCCAAUCUUCCAGAUAAAAGGAAAAUAUAAUAUAGCAUUCCAAUAAAAAUAAGAUAUUCUGGGGUUUCCAUUUUUAAUUAUACCAAUUUUUAAUGUUCAUUAAAUAUAUUUCCCUCUGCCAAGAAGAGAUCUUUUUAGAAAUGUUUGUUUCUUAACCAGUGUACUGUUUUCUUUUUUUUUAACUUCAUCUCAUCCUAAAAAUCAAUGAGCAAUGUUCUUUUAUUUUUUUUUCUUCCCUGGCUUUAUAACCUAAGGAAAUAGGUUUUCUGGUAUGUUUACUUGUUCAUUUUUAACUUGCAGUAAUCAUGAGAGAUUGGUGCCCUGUGUUUCCUAUGUAACUCACAGUCUCAAAUGAUUCACAUGUAUCAUCUUUCUUUUCUCAAAACCUUAAAGUGUUAUUUUAUACCUGGUCUCUGAUCAUUUACCGUCC
RNAcentral lists this long non-coding RNA (1670 nucleotides) under Homo sapiens (human). Its description in RNAcentral is "HSALNT0356742". Lineage: Eukaryota; Metazoa; Chordata; Mammalia; Primates; Hominidae. The record is from RNAcentral.